CUACGGGUUGCUGCAGUGGGGAAUAUUGCACAAUGGGGGAAACCCUGAUGCAGCAACGCCGCGUGGAGGAUGACGCAUUUCGGUGUGUAAACUCCUUUUAUAUCCCAAGAUAAUGACGGUAGGAUAUGAAUAAGCACCGGCUAACUCCGUGCCAGCAGCCGCGGUAAUACGGAGGGUGCAAGCGUUACUCGGAAUCACUGGGCGUAAAGGGCGCGUAGGCGGGUUGUCAAGUCUUGAGUGAAAUCCAACGGCUCAACCGUUGAACUGCUUGAGAAACUGGCAGCCUAGAGUAAGGGAGAGGUAGAUGGAAUUGGUGGUGUAGGGGUAAAAUCCGUAGAGAUCACCAGGAAUACCCAUUGCGAAGGCGAUCUGCUGGAACUUUACUGACGCUGAGGCGCGAAAGCGUGGGGAGCAAACAGGAUUAGAUACCCCUGUAGUC
RNAcentral lists this ribosomal RNA (439 nucleotides) under uncultured bacterium. Its description in RNAcentral is "partial 16S ribosomal RNA". It matches the Rfam family "Bacterial small subunit ribosomal RNA", at positions 339 to 795 of the family's 1533-position model. The record is from RNAcentral.